RNAcentral lists this non-coding RNA (157 nucleotides) under Chloroflexia bacterium. RNAcentral's name for it is "6S RNA". It matches the Rfam family "6S / SsrS RNA". Rfam says of the family: E. coli 6S RNA was the first non coding RNA to be sequenced, but its function was unknown until recently. The record is from RNAcentral. Lineage: Bacteria; Bacillati; Chloroflexota; Chloroflexia.
CCGAUCCUGCGGUGUUCGUGAUGUUGUCCGUAGUCUUGAGCCGAUAAAGAAACGAGUCAGGGAGCCCCCAGCCGAACGGUGAUCCGUACGGGGCCGGGGCGCCCACCUGCGAAAGCAGGUUCAAGACUCCGUUGCACACGGCACAGGUGGGAUCGGC